Picea glauca (white spruce) is the source of this 260-nucleotide non-coding RNA. The record is from Rfam. NCBI's taxonomy places the organism in Eukaryota, Viridiplantae, Streptophyta, Pinopsida, Pinales, Pinaceae.
AUGGGUUAAUAUUCCCGAACCGAGACAUGGUGGUGGACGACAAUGUUAGGAAAUCUUGAGAUGUCAUCAGGGGCCUGGGAAGAGUUAUCUUUUCUUUUUAAAGACUUUCCCACCCUGAAAUCAGUUCAACCAGAGAUAGGGUCCAACAUCUGGAAGAGCACCACACGUCUUGCGGUGUUUCGUGCCCCCUUGGUGGCCAUUGAAAAUAUGGAGAACCGAGUACCAUCCAUGCCCGAUCGUACUCAUAUCUACCUCCUUGU